RNAcentral lists this ribosomal RNA (763 nucleotides) under uncultured archaeon. Its description in RNAcentral is "bacterial SSU rRNA". It matches the Rfam family "Archaeal small subunit ribosomal RNA", at positions 1 to 771 of the family's 1478-position model. The record is from RNAcentral.
UUCCGGUUGAUCCUGCCGGACCUGACUGCUAUCGGAUUGAUACUAAGCCAUGCGAGUCUUUGUAGCAAUACAAGGCAGACGGCUCAGUAACAAGUAGUCAAUCUACCCUAUGGACGGGGAUAACCUCGGGAAACUGAGAAUAAUACCCGAUAGAUCAUUAUGCCUGGAAUGGUUUAUGGUUCAAAUGAUUUUUCGCCAUAGGAUGGGACUGCGGUCUAUCAGCUUGUUGGUGAGGUAAUGGCCCACCAAGGCUAUAACAGAUACGGGCUCUGAGAGGAGAAGCCCGGAGAUGGGUACUGAGACACGGACCCAGGUCCUAUGGGGCGCAGCAGGCGAGAAAACUUUGCAAUGUGCGAAAGCACGACAAGGUUAAUCCGAGUGUUUUCUGCUAAAGAAAUCUUUUGUCAGUCCUAAAAACACUGACGAAUAAGGGGUGGGCAAGUUCUGGUGUCAGCCGCCGCGGUAAAACCAGCACCUCAAGUGGUCAGGAGGAUUAUUGGGCCUAAAGCAUCCGUAGCCUGCUCUGUAAGUUUUCGGUUAAAUCUAUAUGCUCAACAUAUAGGCUGCCGGGAAUACUGCAGAGCUAGGGAGUGGGAGGGGUAGAUGGUACUCGGUAGGAAGGGGUAAAAUCCUUUGAUCUAUUGAUGACCACCUGUGGCGAAGGCGGUCUACUAGAACACGUUCGACGGUGAGGGAUGAAAGCUGGGGGAGCAAACCGGAUUAGAUACCCGGGUAGUCCCAGCUGUAAACUAUGCAACUCAGU